Molecule: non-coding RNA, 1806 nt
Organism: Heterocephalus glaber (naked mole-rat)
Lineage: Eukaryota; Metazoa; Chordata; Mammalia; Rodentia; Bathyergidae
Source: RefSeq, a predicted model, not a curated record
GGCUUCUCUGGAAAUCCAGGCGGGGAUGGGGGUUGGGGUGGUUUCAGGGUGUGGAGAAGAGGCCUUUAGGCCCCAGGAGAGAGAGGUACUGUGUGAGGGGCAAGGGGUUUGUCUCUCCCUGUUGCCCAUAUGGGGACCAAGAUAGUUUGCACCCCUUUUGUCUACCCCUGUUGGGGACAGUGGAGCAGCCACCUGAGGCCAGGCAGAGGUUGCAGGGCACAUCUGCUUCAGCCCUUACUGUGCCUGUCAGUACCCAGUGCCUCCCAUUUCUAGGAGAGAUAUCCUGAAGUGGCAGAGAGACCGAGGUCCCCACGGCAUGGAUAGUACCCUCCCUACCAGGGUCAGCUGCCACUAAAACACCCAUGGCAUCUCUGCUUGUGACAACCCCAGACUGGAAGCAAAUCCCCUGUCUCCCACCCUUGAACAGCAAGCAGUGAGUGUGGUUUGUACACAGUAGUAGUGGCCAGAGGGUCAGACACAGCUGCACAGACCUGAGGACACUCCACAAGCAGAAGAAGCCAGGCCCCCUGUGUGGUUAUAUCUAGGGAAGGGUCUCAGCCCAGCUAGAUGGUCUAGGCUGUGACCAGACAAGUGCUCAAGGGGCUCCAGACCAUGCAGCCAGGCCACUGAGGGGAGCCUGCCAGGCCAUGCUCCGCAGUGGAUGUGUCUGCACAUGUGCUCACUGGGCCAGAAGUGGAGGGGGACAAAGCUAGCUCCAAGCUAUGUGGCCACGUUGUGCCCUCCCAGGCAUGUCCUCCAGGACCCAGUGCCUUCAAGGUUCCAGAGAGGUUGCCAGGUGCACAGUCGGUGUAGCAACCAGGCAGCAGAUGCCUCAGCUUUUGUGAGGCCAACGUUGUAUGACAGGCAGCCUAGACCCCAGGCGCCAGUGUAACCACCUGCUGAAGACUGCCCAGGAGGAAGAGGGAUGUGUGGCUUCCAUCCUGGACAAGUGAUGAGGUGAUAAGGGAAGAACCACAGGGCCCUGUAGCUGAAGAGGCAGGGAUGUGGAGAGACACUGGAUUGACACCAGGGUUCUGCCUGAGGACAAGGGGUUGCUGCAGCAUCUGUGACACCCUGGCCCACCUUUGGGGUUGGCUCCUGUGCAGUGUUCUUGGGCCUCUUCUGCUCUCUGGCCCUGCUGCUUGUUGUGGCCCUGAGGGAUGCCCAGGCUGUAAUCUCUGACUCUGUCCUGCGAGGUGUCUCGUCUCUGUCCCCCAGGUACAGAAUACUCUUUUUCUGGGUCUUCCCACAGCUGGCCUCCUCUCAGGCGUCACCUCCUGAGGGCACGCUAGCCCACCUAACAUAAGUUCUGUGUCCCUCUGCCUUCCAAGUCUGAGCCCUCAGAGCCACCUCCUCUUCUGUGCUUGACAUGGGUCCCAGUUCCACACCCAGGGCUGGACGUGUGUUCACAGAAGGCAGCGACCUUGGACUGAGGCCACAGGCCAAGGAGGCUUCCCCCAGCAGAGUCCCCAGUGGUAAAUAAGCAGCCAAGAAGCACUUGAAGACUGUGUGACUGUCCUGGACAGUCUGGAAGAAUGGACUGGGAUCCAUGCACAAUACAAGGGUUCGGAAGGAGGGGAACAGUAGUCCAUUGAGAUUAACUAGCGAAGAAGGCCUGCUUACAUUGGACAGUAGGAGUGACAUUAGGAAAUAAGCAAAGCCUGUUUGAGAGAAACUUUAAAACCCUCCAGAAGAAGAUCUGACCGAAGAAUGAAGAUACGUUCAUGAAGAAGAAUUCUUGCCAGCAUAGGAGGAUUCUGUGGAGACAUUACACAGUUCUAUAUAUCACAAUAAAAAUGCUAUAAA